UACGGAGGGAGCUAGCGUUGUUCGGAAUUACUGGGCGUAAAGCGCGCGUAGGCGGUUACUCAAGUCAGAGGUGAAAGCCCGGGGCUCAACCCCGGAACUGCCUUUGAAACUAGAUUGCUAGAAUCCUGGAGAGGUGAGCGGAAUUCCGAGUGUAGAGGUGAAAUUCGUAGAUAUUCGGAAGAACACCAGUGGCGAAGGCGACUCACUGGACAGGUAUUGACGCUGAGGUGCGAAAGCGUGGGGAGCAAACAGG
This 253-nucleotide ribosomal RNA is filed under the name uncultured bacterium. RNAcentral describes it as "partial 16S ribosomal RNA". It matches the Rfam family "Bacterial small subunit ribosomal RNA", at positions 524 to 776 of the family's 1533-position model. The record is from RNAcentral.